RNAcentral lists this ribosomal RNA (496 nucleotides) under uncultured bacterium. RNAcentral's name for it is "partial 16S ribosomal RNA". It matches the Rfam family "Bacterial small subunit ribosomal RNA", at positions 29 to 507 of the family's 1533-position model. The record is from RNAcentral.
AUGAACGCUGGCGGCGUGCCUAAUACAUGCAAGUCGAGCGAACGGACGAGAAGCUUGCUUCUCUGAUGUUAGCGGCGGACAGGUGAGUAACACGUGGAUAACCUACCUAUAAGACUGGGAUAACUUCGGGAAACCGGAGCUAAUACCGGAUAAUAUUUUGAACCGCAUGGUUCAAAAGUGAAAGACGGUCUUGCUGUCACUUAUAGAUGGAUCCGCGCUGCAUUAGCUAGUUGGUAAGGUAACGGCUUACCAAGGCAACGAUGCAUAGCCGACCUGAGAGGGUGAUCGGCCACACUGGAACUGAGACACGGUCCAGACUCCUACGGGAGGCAGCAGUAGGGAAUCUUCCGCAAUGGGCGAAAGCCUGACGGAGCAACGCCGCGUGAGUGAUGAAGGUCUUCGGAUCGUAAAACUCUGUUAUUAGGGAAGAACAUAUGUGUAAGUAACUGUGCACAUCUUGACGGUACCUAAUCAGAAAGCCACGGCUGACUACGUG